GUCCCCAUCGUCUAGAGGCCCAGGACCUCGGCCCUUCAAGCCGAGUACGCGGGUUCGAAUCCCGCUGGGGACG
This 73-nucleotide transfer RNA is filed under the name Deltaproteobacteria bacterium. RNAcentral describes it as "tRNA-Glu". It matches the Rfam family "tRNA". From Rfam's summary of the family: Transfer RNA (tRNA) molecules are approximately 80 nucleotides in length. Their secondary structure includes four short double-helical elements and three loops (D, anti-codon, and T loops). Lineage: Bacteria; Pseudomonadati; Myxococcota; Myxococcia. The record is from RNAcentral.